Molecule: long non-coding RNA, 1393 nt
Organism: Cebus imitator (Panamanian white-faced capuchin)
Lineage: Eukaryota; Metazoa; Chordata; Mammalia; Primates; Cebidae
Exons: 3
Source: RefSeq, a predicted model, not a curated record
UGGGGGGGGAGGGGCGGCCACGGAUCUGCCCGGCCAGGCCCACUGAGCCCUGUCCAACAUUAGUAGGAACCCGAGUAAGGGCUGCAAAACGCAUCCAAAGUGGCGCUGCAGUAACUGUGGGGAGUAGAGGGCGAAAGGAGAUUCCCAUCCAGUGCUGAUGGAGGUGAAGCGUGGAUCUGCACACAGGGACGCUUCAGAUGACAACUGAAACAAGGAACAGGAAGCUGAGAAAGGAAGACACCUCCCACACACACCUAGCAAAAGCUGGACGUUUCUGGUCAUUCAUCCUAUGGGAAGACUUUCUGGAAGGGGCAAUUAUUCUUGGAAGCUGAAAGGUAUUAACAACCUCCAGAAGGCACUAUGACAUUGGAGUCUGGACUAUGUGGAGCAGGACUCAAAGCUGGGCUUAGCUGCUUAUUGACUUUGACCUUGAGCAAAAAGUUAGCAGAUGAUUUAAAGUAUAAGGUAAAAGGAAUUCAUGCUUGUUAACCCAUUAAACGCUCGUUAGUUACGCUCUCUUUUAAAAAGCCAUUCAAAAAUGUAUAUGACAAGCAAAUAUUUAUUGCAGUGUUUCUUAAAAUAAUGAAAAAUUAGAAACCAUUAUAAGGGGCUACUGCUAAAUCAUGGUGUACUCAUAAAUGAAACGUUGUGCGUCCAUAAAAAGGGGUUCUGAGGAGUGGUUCCUGGCACGAUGUAAUAUGAAAAAAGCAAAAUACGAAAUUGUGCGAUUCUAAUGUUGCAGAAACUUUCAGCCUACACGACUAUCGCUGAAUAAAAUCACAAAGUAGAAAAUGGUGAUUAUAUCUUGGAGUGAUGAGAUUGUAGGUGAUUUUUAAUUUUCUUUACUAAGGUUUUCUGCAGUUAAACAUUCUGCAGUUCAAUCUCAUUUAAUACAAAUAUCUAGAACUUCUCAAAUGGAGUGACUUCAGCAUUUGACGUCCUCGGCCUGAUUGCUGUGGAGGUUAUUGUGCGGAGUGACCUUUGACCAUACGGCCACAGAUCCAGAAGCCAGACGUCUGCGGGGCUUUGCUCCUGAGAGGGAGCUCCCAGACUGUGACCUUUGAUUCCUGCACGCCUCCUCUUGCCAUCUGAUGCCGGUCUGCUCCUGUGACUAAGUGAAAAUCGUCAUAACUGCGCUCGGGGGUUAACUCUGGCCCGACUGGGAGGGAACGUGCCGGCAGCAUGCUGGAGGCAGGGAAGAAGGCCAGCAGCCUUGUCAGGAACAAACACCCCGGACGGCACCUUUCCAUAGACAUGCGGUUCCCCGGGACCCGUGGGGAGUCCUCUGCACAUGCCAGGACCAGCAGCAAUGGAAGGAAUUAUCUUUCACUCCCUUCUUGGUGAAAAUGUCUAUUUUCCAGAAAUGAAUUACAGCAAUAAAUUAUGGAAAUUG